GUGGGGAAUAUUGGACAAUGGGGGGAACCCUGAUCCAGCCAUGCCGCGUGUGUGAAGAAGGCCUUUUGGUUGUAAAGCACUUUAAGUGGGGAGGAGGCUUACCUGGUUAAUACCUGGGCUAAGUGGACGUUACCCACAGAAUAAGCACCGGCUAACUCUGUGCCAGCAGCCGCGGUAAUACAGAGGGGGCGAGCGUUAAUCUGAUUUACUGGGCGUAAAGCGCGCGUAGGUGGCCAAUUAAGUCAAAUGUGAAAUCCCCGAGCUUAACUUGGGAAUUGCAUUCGAUACUGGUUGGCUAGAGUAUGGGAGAGGAUGGUAGAAUUCCAGGUGUAGCGGUGAAAUGCGUAGAGAUCUGGAGGAAUACCGAUGGCGAAGGCAGCCAUCUGGCCUAAUACUGACACUGAGGUGCGAAAGCAUGGGGAGCAAACAGGAUUAGAAACCCGUGUAGUCC
Molecule: ribosomal RNA, 451 nt
Filed under: uncultured bacterium
Lineage: Bacteria
Description: partial 16S ribosomal RNA
Rfam family: Bacterial small subunit ribosomal RNA
Source: RNAcentral